This 446-nucleotide ribosomal RNA is filed under the name uncultured organism. Its description in RNAcentral is "partial 16S ribosomal RNA". It matches the Rfam family "Bacterial small subunit ribosomal RNA", at positions 334 to 797 of the family's 1533-position model. The record is from RNAcentral.
CACUCCUGCGGGAGGCAGCAGUGGGGAAUAUUGGACAAUGGGCGCAAGCCUGAUCCAGCCAUGCCGCGUGAGUGAUGAAGGCCCUAGGGUUGUAAAGCUCUUUCACCGGUGAAGAUAAUGACGGUAACCGGAGAAGAAGCCCCGGCUAACUUCGUGCCAGCAGCCGCGGUAAUACGAAGGGGGCUAGCGUUGUUCGGAUUUACUGGGCGUAAAGCGCACGUAGGCGGACUAUUAAGUCAGGGGUGAAAUCCCGGGGCUCAACCCCGGAACUGCCUUUGAUACUGGUAGUCUUGAGUUUGAGAGAGGUGAGUGGAAUUCCGAGUGUAGAGGUGAAAUUCGUAGAUAUUCGGAGGAACACCAGUGGCGAAGGCGGCUCACUGGCUCGAUACUGACGCUGAGGUGCGAAAGCGUGGGGAGCAAACAGGAUUAGAAACCCCUGUAGUCCC